This 492-nucleotide ribosomal RNA is filed under the name uncultured bacterium. RNAcentral's name for it is "partial 16S ribosomal RNA". It matches the Rfam family "Bacterial small subunit ribosomal RNA", at positions 29 to 507 of the family's 1533-position model. The record is from RNAcentral.
AGUGAACGCUGGCGGUAGGCCUAACACAUGCAAGUCGAACGGCAGCACAGUAAGAGCUUGCUCUUACGGGUGGCGAGUGGCGGACGGGUGAGGAAUACAUCGGAAUCUACUUUUUCGUGGGGGAUAACGUAGGGAAACUUACGCUAAUACCGCAUACGACCUACGGGUGAAAGCAGGGGAUCUUCGGACCUUGCGCGAUUGAAUGAGCCGAUGUCGGAUUAGCUAGUUGGCGGGGUAAAGGCCCACCAAGGCGACGAUCCGUAGCUGGUCUGAGAGGAUGAUCGGCCACACUGGAACUGAGACACGGUCCAGACGCCUACGGGAGGCAGCAGUGGGGAAUAUUGGGCAAUGGGCGCAAGCCUGAUCCAGCCAUACCGCGUGGGUGAAGAAGGCCUUCGGGUUGUAAAGCCCUUUUGUUGGGAAAGAAAAGCAGCAGGUUAAUACCCCGCUGUUCUGACGGUACCCAAAGAAUAAGCACCGGCUAACUUCGUG